ACACGCGAGAUGCUGGGGCUUCCCUGGCCCUGACUGGCUAGCCACAGGCAGGGCUGGCAGGAGAAGGCCACCGCCACCCUGCGUGUCCCAGGAGGGCACGGACAGUUGAGAGCACCCAUAGGAACGCCGCACAGUGAACGCAUGCAGGCCUCCAACCAUGGCCAGGGCCCUGCGGCGUGGCCCCGUGUCUACCUGUAAAGGUACUGGGACCCACCACCUGGCAAGGACCACGCCGGGCAGGAGGAGACCAGGAGGCGACAGUCAGACAGAGAAGCUGAAGAAACCAGAAGGCGUCUGUGCAAGAGAGCCCCACACAGACACUGGAAAGAACCAGGGCAACCUGCAGACCAACUCGAAAGACCUCCCCUAGGGCGACGGAAAUGAGAUGAGGCAAACAGCUUCCCGACCAGAGCCCAUGCACCUUCCACGUCUGUGCAGGGAGCUCGGGGCCACAUCCCGAGAUGGGAAAGACAACUGAGGCUUCCACAAAGAAAUUACAAUGAAACAGACACUGGCCAGGCCAGCUGAAAAUCAGUGACGGACUACGGUCCAAAUCGACGUGGAGGUUCCAACAAGAGAAGGACGGUGGUGGGGUCACCCUACCCCAGCCUGCGAGUGCCCCAGAGGGUGCACAAGCAGGACAGCCACCCUGUUGCAGAGUGUGGUGCUUUCACACCAUGUUCACCCCACCUCAGCCCUCUGGCCCAGACGUCGGUGGCUCCUCUGCCAGGUGAGGUGAGGUGAGGUGAGGUGAGGUGGGAGCAGACAGUGGAGAAACACCACAAACAGCACAGGUGGUCGGCCAGGGCCACGAGCCCUUCAGCUCACCGAUGCCGAGACCCCGCAAUCCCCACAACAAACCUGCAAGGUCAGAAUAAUUGCGCACAUGUACAGACGACUAAGCUGAGGCCCCUUCCUCCUCCACCUCCGGAAUGCCACCUGAGCGCAGAGGCUUUGGGACACAAAGCACUCAGCAGUCGGCAGUGGAGGCACAGCCUAGGAUCAAGACCCUGGGCUUCCUGUCCCAGGCUCCUCAACCUGCAGGCGGCCACACAGCAAGAGGACCCUGGGAAGUUAAAGAACGAGGCGCUCCUGCUUCCCCCACUCUCAACGGCCAGCAAGGACACAAAGGCAGCCCAGGGCAGGGCCAGCCGCCAGCCACAAGGCCCCUCCAGAACCCAAGGUCCAGUGGAGACUCCGAAAGGGCUGAUUGCAGGGCCCCCACGGGGUCCACACACCAGACACAGAGGCCCAUGCAGAAAGGCGGUAAGGGGCCCCCACGGGGUCCACACACCAGACACAGAGGCCCUGCGAGAGGGAGGCAUGGAGCGCCCGCGGUGUUGGCACACCAGGAUUCACAGCCCGGCUCUCCACCCCCAGCUGACCUCGCUGUGAAGAGAUGGUUUGUGCUGAGAGCUUAGCAAGGCCGUCGUCUACCGAGUGCUUCCCACCACAGCCCAUGCGCAGGCAUGAGAGUCAUGCCUCCCGCAGGCCACAGCUUCACUCAUGCAAGGACAUUCUGGGGGCCGGGACGUCCUAGCCAGUGGCUAGAACUGGGUGUGACCAUGGGCCCCCUUGGCUGGGGAGAAAAGGAGGUGCCCCUAGAUCCCAAGUCCCCUGGGGCCGCAGCAAAGGGAGGAGGACCUUGCAUCACUCCAGGGUGCCACGUGGACGAACAGAGGUAACAUUGGGAGUGUGGCUGGCAGUGUUGGACAUUCAGAACACGUCUGCCCAAAACAAACAUGGCCUUCACUUCUCCCAGCUCCCAGAAACAAAGUAAACAGAAGGAUCACGUCUGGACACCAGGGACCAGCCCGUUACAUCCCUGUCCCCCCCAGGCCAGAGCCUGACCACUCUGUGUCACCUGCCUCUACUCCUGUAGUGACUGUCAACUUUUUGGAUUUCAGAAAGCCAAACCAGCAAGGGAAGCCUUUUCCCGGGGGGUAGAGGUGUCUCUCCUACACACACCCCUACCCCAGGGUCUGAGAUGACAUCCCAAAUCAAACCCGGUAUUCUGCAGAGAUACACAAAGGUUCAAACUACAGACAGCCUUGUAUCAGCUGUAAAGGGGGGCCAGAUUUUGCUGCAAAAGAAAAAACCCAGUAUCCCCUC
Molecule: non-coding RNA, 2112 nt
Filed under: Pan troglodytes (chimpanzee)
Lineage: Eukaryota; Metazoa; Chordata; Mammalia; Primates; Hominidae
Source: RNAcentral